This 343-nucleotide unclassified non-coding RNA is filed under the name soil metagenome. RNAcentral describes it as "partial contains 5.8S ribosomal RNA, internal transcribed spacer 2, and large subunit ribosomal RNA". The stretch from base 1 to 120 matches the Rfam family "5.8S ribosomal RNA", at positions 35 to 154 of the family's 154-position model. The record is from RNAcentral.
GAUGAAGAACGCAGCGAAAUGCGAUAAGUAAUGUGAAUUGCAGAAUUCAGUGAAUCAUCGAAUCUUUGAACGCACAUUGCGCCCGCCAGCAUUCUGGCGGGCAUGCCUGUUCGAGCGUCAUUUCAACCCUCGAGCCCCCCCGGGGGCCUCGGUGUUGGGGGACGGCACACCAGCCGCCCCCGAAAUGCAGUGGCGACCCCGCCGCAGCCUCCCCUGCGUAGUAGCACACACCUCGCACCGGAGCGCGGAGGCGGUCACGCCGUAAAACGCCCAACUUUCUUAGAGUUGACCUCGUAUCAGGUACGAAUACCCGCUGAACUUAAGCAUAUCAAUAAGCGGAGGA